CAUUGCAAACAUGUGGUCAUUCUCUUUUGCUUCUGAACAUUGUGAGGGGAAGACGUAUACUGGUGCUGGCUCCCUUUUAUAGCCCUUCACUGCGGAGAAACGAAUCUUCGGCUUUCUUGAUGAGAUCACGCAACUCCAUCCCAUGUCAACCCUGUCCAUUGGAUAACAGCCUCCAUAUUUAAAUCGACUUAUAUGAACGCUAUGCAGCAAUGAUCAUAUAGGGAACGCUAUCCUGAAUUAAUUAUUGUUCUCCAACAAUACGCGUUUGAUAGCAACGUACCAUAUUCGUUGAUGAGCGGACAAUCUUCUUCUUCUUUAUAAACGACCGGUCUUAUUAAUAUAAAUCGUAGUGGGCCCUUAAGUAUAUUAUGUUUGUUUAUUUGAUUAUCUGUAAAAGUAUAUCUCAUGCCUUAGCUUUAUCCACCCUUCGGAUAAGCAGAUUAAAGGUGAAACAGUAAAUCAA
Long non-coding RNA from Strongylocentrotus purpuratus (purple sea urchin), 463 nucleotides. RefSeq lists it as uncharacterized. The transcript is spliced from 2 exons. NCBI's taxonomy places the organism in Eukaryota, Metazoa, Echinodermata, Echinoidea, Camarodonta, Strongylocentrotidae. The record is from RefSeq and is a predicted model, not a curated record.